RNAcentral lists this ribosomal RNA (496 nucleotides) under uncultured bacterium. RNAcentral describes it as "bacterial SSU rRNA". It matches the Rfam family "Bacterial small subunit ribosomal RNA", at positions 8 to 521 of the family's 1533-position model. The record is from RNAcentral.
AGAGUUUGAUCCUGGCUCAGGAUAAACGCUGGCGGCGUGCUUAACACAUGCAAGUCGAACGAAGUUUUUCUUUCGGGAGGAACUUAGUGGCGGACGGGUGAGUAACGCGUGGGUAGCCUGCCCUGUACAGGGGGACAACAGCUGGAAACGGCUGCUAAUACCGCAUAAGCCCUUAGCACUGCAUGGUGCAUAGGGAAAAGGAGCAAUCCGGUACAGGAUGGACCCGCGUCUGAUUAGCCAGUUGGCAGGGUAACGGCCUACCAAAGCGACGAUCAGUAGCCGAUCUGAGAGGAUGUACGGCCACAUUGGGACUGAGACACGGCCCAGACUCCUACGGGAGGCAGCAGUGGGGAAUAUUGCACAAUGGAGGAAACUCUGAUGCAGCGACGCCGCGUGAGUGAAGAAGUAUUUCGGUAUGUAAAGCUCUAUCAGCAGGGAAGAAAAUGACGGUACCUGACUAAGAAGCACCGGCUAAAUACGUGCCAGCAGCCGCGGU